Molecule: ribosomal RNA, 848 nt
Filed under: uncultured Chloroflexota bacterium
Lineage: Bacteria; Bacillati; Chloroflexota
Description: bacterial SSU rRNA
Rfam family: Bacterial small subunit ribosomal RNA
Source: RNAcentral
UGACGAGAACGGACGGUAGCGCAGGAAUAAGUCUCGGCUAACUACGUGCCAGCAGCCGCGGUAAAACGUAGGAGGCGAGCGUUAUCCGGAGUUACUGGGCGUAAAGCGCGUGUAGGCGGCACAGAGGGUCUGAUGUGAAAGCUCCCAGGCUAAACCGGGAGAGGUCAUUGGAAACCGCUGUGCUAGAGGGUGAUAGAGGGGCGUGGAAUUCCGGGUGUAGUGGUGAAAUGCGUAGAGAUCCGGAGGAACACCAGUGGCGAAGGCGGCGCCCUGGGUCACACCUGACGCUGAGACGCGACAGCAUGGGGAGCGAACGGGAUUAGAAACCCCGGUAGUCCAUGCCGUAAACGAUGCACACUGGGUGUGCGGGCGGGGAAACCCGUUUGCGUGCCGAAGUUAACACGGUAAGUGUGCCGCCUGGGGAGUACGGUCGCAAGGCUAAAACUCAAAGGAAUUGACGGGGCCCGCACAAGCAGCGGAGCGUGUGGUUUAAUUCGAGGCUACGCGAAGAACCUUACCCAGGCUUGACAUCCUCUGAACGACGUGGAAACACGAAGGUGCCCUCGGGCCAGAGUGACAGGUGCUGCAUGGCUGUCGUCAGCUCGUGCCGUGAGGUGUUCGGUUAAGUCCGCAAACGAGCGCAACCCCUGUGGUCAGUUAUACGUGUCUGGCCAGACUGCCCGUGAGAAACGGGAGGAAGGUGGGGAUGACGUCAAGUCAGCAUGGCCUUUAUGUCUGGGGCUACACACACGCUACAAUGGCGCGUACAGUGGGCAGCCAAGGCGCAAGCCGGAGCGAAUCCCCCAAAGCGCGUCGUAGUUCGGAUGGCAGGCUGCAACUCGCCUGCC